GAGUGGACGCAUCACUGGUGUUCGGGUUGUCAUGCCAAUGGCACUGCCCGGUAGCUAAAUGCGGAAAAGAUAAGUGCUGAAAGCAUCUAAGCACGAAACUUGCCCCGAGAUGAGUUCUCCCUGACUCUUUAAGAGUCCUGAAGGAACGUUGAAGACGACGACGUUGAUAGGUCGGGUGUGUAAGCGCAGCGAUGCGUUGAGCUAACCGAUACUAAUGAACCGUGAGGCUUAACCUUACAACGCCGAAGGUGUUU
RNAcentral lists this ribosomal RNA (254 nucleotides) under Enterobacter sp. HN503E2II. Its description in RNAcentral is "partial 23S ribosomal RNA". It matches the Rfam family "Bacterial large subunit ribosomal RNA", at positions 2695 to 2925 of the family's 2925-position model. Lineage: Bacteria; Pseudomonadati; Pseudomonadota; Gammaproteobacteria; Enterobacterales; Enterobacteriaceae. The record is from RNAcentral.